Molecule: long non-coding RNA, 1254 nt
Filed under: Gossypium raimondii (Peruvian cotton)
Lineage: Eukaryota; Viridiplantae; Streptophyta; Magnoliopsida; Malvales; Malvaceae
Description: long non-coding RNA (GRAI_LNC008341)
Source: RNAcentral
UUCUGUGGCGGGUUGGGAAGGGUGAUUACAUCAACAUCUGGAACGACCCCUGGUUACCUGGAAGAGAGAAUAAUCAAAUUUCAGUGCAGAUGAUUAGGCCUAUUUGGACUACCGUCAAUCAGCUAAUUAUAACGGAGACUAGUACCUGGGAUAGGGAGCUGGUUCAUAACUUAGUGGACGAGAGUACAGCUGAUCGUAUUUUCGCUAUUCCCAUUUCUGGAAGUGGUCCGGAGGAUAGGUUGGUUUGGAAACAUGAGGGUUCUAGGGAAUACUCUGUUAAGAGUGGGUAUCGGGCUCUUAAUACAGACUACUUACGAGGCUCUACUUACAGGUCCUCUUUUGGUGAGGAUUACAAAGUUUUUUACAAUGAUUUACGGUCAUUGAACAUUCUAGGGAAAAUUAAAAUACAUAUUUGGAGGCUGGUGAAUAAUUUGGUGCCUCACUUUGGUAAUUUGGCGUGUAGGACUUUGUGUGUAAAAGUAUCGUGUCCGCUGUGUAAGGAAGAGCUGGAGGAUUUUGAUCACCUAUUGUGGUCUUGUGGUAUCUGGUAGAGGGUGUAGGCAUCGUUAACAGUGAAGAUUCCUUCAUUCGAAGAAUCGGAGGGUCAUACGCUCCGUUUUGUUAAAAUGUUCUCUACAGCUGAUGAACAACAAAAACAAAUCAUUGUGAUAUCCAUGUGGAGUCUUUGGUUCCAUGAAAAUAAGCUAGUUCAUGAAGGGGUUAAAUUCUCGAUGCAGGAGGUGUUGGGGUUUAUACGGGGAUAUGUGCAUAAAAUUUGUCUUAAUUAUAUGUCUCUUUGUUCCUCUCGUAGACUACUGAUUAAGGAGAUCUGGAGACCACCGAACCAAGGAGUUAUCAAGUUAAACUUUGAUGCGUCUCUCCUAAAGGAAGAGAAGCUCGCUGUAACAGCAGUUCUAGCCAGAGAUUUUACAGGUGAGAUUGUAGGGGCAGAAACUUAUCUUUUUAAAGAUGUCGCCUACGCGUUUGUGGCAGAAGCAAGGGCUUGUGAAAGGGCGUUAAUCUUCGCGAGUAUAAUGUGUUUCCAUCGACUGGUUGUGGAAGGCGAUUCACUGACAGUUAUAAAAAAUGUUCAAAAGAAGGAGAAAGAUAAAUCGGUGCUCACACUGAUUACACAUCACAUCUAUAAUUUGGGUAUGUUUUUUGAUGAGAUAUCUUACCUUGCAGUGCCUCGAUUGAUUAAUGAGGCAGCUCAUACACUGGCGUUGGAGGGUCGGAGACGAAAGAUCUAUGGGG